RNAcentral lists this non-coding RNA (51 nucleotides) under Acinetobacter sp. RNAcentral's name for it is "Li+-I sequence". It matches the Rfam family "nhaA-I RNA". Rfam says of the family: Acidobacteria, Alphaproteobacteria, Betaproteobacteria and Gammaproteobacteria, Verrucomicrobia, cand. division NC10. Downstream gene Lineage: Bacteria; Pseudomonadati; Pseudomonadota; Gammaproteobacteria; Moraxellales; Moraxellaceae. RNAcentral also lists the same sequence under 1 other name. The record is from RNAcentral.
GGGUGUCUAGUUGAACUUAGGCAGGUGUUUGUUGUAGUCGGGCCGCUACAA